RNAcentral lists this ribosomal RNA (45 nucleotides) under Pestalotiopsis microspora. RNAcentral describes it as "partial 28S ribosomal RNA". Lineage: Eukaryota; Fungi; Ascomycota; Sordariomycetes; Amphisphaeriales; Sporocadaceae. The record is from RNAcentral.
GUGACCUCGGAUCAGGUAGGAAUACCCGCUGAACUUAACAAUCAG